RNAcentral lists this transfer RNA (82 nucleotides) under Ruminococcus sp. CAG:353. It matches the Rfam family "tRNA". Rfam says of the family: Transfer RNA (tRNA) molecules are approximately 80 nucleotides in length. Their secondary structure includes four short double-helical elements and three loops (D, anti-codon, and T loops). Lineage: Bacteria; Bacillati; Bacillota; Clostridia; Eubacteriales; Oscillospiraceae. The record is from Rfam by way of RNAcentral.
GCCGGUGUGAUGGAAUUGGCAGACGUAGCGGACUCAAAAUCCGCCGGGGCGACCCGUACCGGUUCAAGCCCGGUCACCGGCA